AUCAUUUCGAGCCAACUCUCUCAAGUGAAAUAGAAAGCCAAAUUUGCAGAUUUGAGGUUGAGCCAACUUAAGAAAAAUUCGAGCUGACUUGAGAUCAUUUCGAGUUGACACUGGAUCAUUUCGAGCUGACUCAUGUGCCUCUAACAGAGAUAACAGCUAGUUCUGCAGGAUAUCCAAUUUUAUUCAAAACUUUUCCAAUGGCUCUAUUUUGCCUCCAAUGGUCAUAAAUGGCCAAAAAUGGGUUCAAAAUGCAUGAAACUUGGAAAGAAUGCACAGUAGAUAUAAGAGUAGCCAAGGAACCA
RNAcentral lists this long non-coding RNA (302 nucleotides) under Elaeis guineensis (African oil palm). RNAcentral describes it as "long non-coding RNA (EGUI_LNC029691)". The record is from RNAcentral. Lineage: Eukaryota; Viridiplantae; Streptophyta; Magnoliopsida; Arecales; Arecaceae.